Molecule: long non-coding RNA, 1197 nt
Filed under: Anas platyrhynchos platyrhynchos (common mallard)
Lineage: Eukaryota; Metazoa; Chordata; Aves; Anseriformes; Anatidae
Description: lncRNA (ENSAPLG00000024474.1)
Source: RNAcentral
GUCACCCAUGGGUGCAGAUUGUGGCAUGUUGGGAAGCCUGGAUGAGGUUGUGCCACGCCGGCUGCUAAAGAUUUUGGGACAGCAGCUCUGGUUCCCCCUUUUCAUUUUGAAACACAACUUUUGGGUUUAAAAAUGGGCAGCGUGGCUCAAACGCUCCAUGUUCGGGUUGUUUGCCCCCAAAUCCUGGCAGCAUCCUGCUUCUGCUGGACCCCAUCCAAAUCCCCCCCAUGCUGAGACACUCGGCUGCUGGAAACAAAUCCCAAAUCCCCCAAAUCCUGCAGAGUGUCCCCAGCUUGUCCCCCGCACAGACACACAGGACUCGUGUCCCUUAGGCAAGGUUUUAGCAGGAUUUUAGUGCUGGGAGGGGAUUUGUUCACUUUGCUCCUUGCUCGGUGCCAUUUGGAGGCUGCUUUGGUUUGGAGAGGGGGAGUGGGGUGUCCCUGGGCUCUCCUCGCCUCCCACCCCAAAACGUCCUCCCCGGGCUGGGGACACACGGGGCAGGAUGUGGCCAGGCCCUGUGCCCUAUGGUGGCUUCAGUGCAGCCCUGCAAAGCGCCACCACGGCCAGGAGAACGCGCUUGUCCUGGUGGCAGGGAACUGGCCUGGCCCCUGGCAUGGUGCUAACUGGGCUGGGGGCUGCUGGGAGCAACUGGGAGCAACUGGGAAUGGAGAGAACUUGUUGCACAGCCCUGUGGUGCCAUAUCCUGGGGCUGGGCAUUGUCCCUGGGGCUGGGCAUUGUCCCCAGGGCUGCCAGCAGAGCCAUUUUUGCUAUUAUUAUUUGGGAUUAUUUGGGAUUAUUUGUUUUUUAGCCCCAAUUUUGCUGCGCUGGGAGGGUGCCGGUGUCCGUACCUGGGCAGAUUUCACCCUCUGGGGAUAAAACAAACAAACUCGGGGUGCAGCAGCCGCAGGGCAGCCGGGCUGGAGGUGGAUUGCAAAAUUCCCCCCCCCCCCCCAACCCCAGCUGGAGGAAAAACCUUUUCCUGCAGAGCCAGGGCUGGAGGCAAACAAGGGCCCUUUCAUCCCCUGGCAGCACCGCGUCCCCACGGGCACCCAGCGCCGCGUCCCGCGCCUGCACCCGCCGCCCCAUGCACAUUUUCCUUUUUUUUGUGCCCUUUUGGGUUUGUUUUUAUUUUUUUUCCCCCUUCGCUCGCUGCAAGCCACGGCUGUGCCUCCUGCUACCUGCCCCCCCCNNNNNNN